Molecule: ribosomal RNA, 254 nt
Filed under: uncultured bacterium
Lineage: Bacteria
Description: partial 16S ribosomal RNA
Rfam family: Bacterial small subunit ribosomal RNA
Source: RNAcentral
UACGGGGGGAGCAAGCGUUGUUCGGAUUUACUGGGCGUAAAGGGCGCGUAGGCGGCCACCGCAAGUCGACUGUGAAAUCUCCGGGCUUAACCCGGAAAGGUCAGCCGAUACUGCGGGGCUAGAGUUCGGCAGGGGAGACUGGAAUUCUCGGUGUAGCGGUGAAAUGCGUAGAUAUCGAGAGGAACACCUGCGGCGAAGGCGGGUUGCUGGGCCGACACUGACGCUGAAGCGCGAAAGCCAGGGGAGCGAACGGG